GACGAACGCUGGCGGCGUGCUUAACACAUGCAAGUCGAACGGAAAGGCCCUGCUUUUGUGGGGUGCUCGAGUGGCGAACGGGUGAGUAACACGUGAGUAACCUGCCCUUGACUUUGGGAUAACUUCAGGAAACUGGGGCUAAUACCGGAUAGGAGCUCCUGCUGCAUGGUGGGGGUUGGAAAGUUUCGGCGGUUGGGGAUGGACUCGCGGCUUAUCAGCUUGUUGGUGGGGUAGUGGCUUACCAAGGCUUUGACGGGUAGCCGGCCUGGGAGGGUGGACGGCCACAAGGGGACUGAGAGACGGACCAGAGUCCUACGGGGGGCAACAGUGGGGAAUAUUGCACAAUGGGCGGGAGCCUGAUGCAGCAACGCCGCGUGCGGGAAGACGGCCUUCGGGUUGUAAACCGCUUUCGCCUGUGACGAAGCGUUAGUGACGGUAAUGGGUAAAGAAGCACCGGCUAACUACGUG
Molecule: ribosomal RNA, 468 nt
Filed under: uncultured bacterium
Lineage: Bacteria
Description: partial 16S ribosomal RNA
Rfam family: Bacterial small subunit ribosomal RNA
Source: RNAcentral